Molecule: long non-coding RNA, 543 nt
Organism: Oncorhynchus keta (chum salmon)
Lineage: Eukaryota; Metazoa; Chordata; Actinopteri; Salmoniformes; Salmonidae
Exons: 5
Source: RefSeq, a predicted model, not a curated record
UGUUGGUUAAGGUCUUGUAAGUCAGCAUUUCACUGUGAGGUCUGCACUGUUGGUUAAGGGCUUGUAAGUAAGCAUUUCACUGUGAGGUCUACACUGUUGGUUAAGGGCUUGUAAGUCAGCAUUUCACUGUGAGGUCUACACUGUUGGUUAAGGUCUUGUAAGUCAGCAUUUCACUGUGAGGUCUACACUGUUGGUUAAGGUCUUGUAAGUCAGCAUUUCACUGUGAGGUCUGCACUGUUGGUUAAGGUCUUGUAAGUCAGCAUUUCACUGUGAGGUCUGCACUGUUGGUUUCAGGGCUUGUAAGUAAGCGCAUGUGACCAUUUAAGUUUGAUUUGAUCCUGACUUAAAUUCACCAGAUAUUCAUCCAGAUGUAUGUCUGGUGAGGAUAGGGGAGGGGGCACCCUCUAAGCUAGUUGACGUGGGGAGGCUGAAUGACAGCUUUCCUGUUCGCACCGGAGACCCGUCUGGUAUGGUGGAACGUUCUUUUAAAAACACACCCAGGCAUCCUCAGCUGACCUCUAAAGUCCAAUGUUUUCCCUCACU